UGGGGAAUAUUGGACAAUGGGCGCAAGCCUGAUCCAGCAAUGCCGCGUGUGUGAAGAAGGCCUUCGGGUUGUAAAGCACUUUUAUCAGGAGCGAAACGCUGUCGGCUAAUACCCGGCGGAACUGACGGUACCUGAGGAAUAAGCACCGGCUAACUUCGUGCCAGCAGCCGCGGUAAUACGAAGGGUGCAAGCGUUAAUCGGAAUUACUGGGCGUAAAGCGUGCGUAGGCGGUUUCUUAAGUCUGCUGUGAAAUCCCCGGGCUCAACCUGGGAAUGGCAGUGGAUACUGGGAGGCUAGAGUGUGUCAGAGGGUGGUGGAAUUCCCGGUGUAGCGGUGAAAUGCGUAGAGAUCGGGAGGAACAUCAGUGGCGAAGGCGGCCACCUGGGACAACACUGACGCUGAGGCACGAAAGCGUGGGGAGCAAACAGGAUUAGAUACCCUGGUAGUCCACGCCCUAAAGCGAUGCGAACUGGAUGUUGGUCUCAACCCGGAGAUCAGUGUCGAAGCUAACGCGUUAAGUUCGCCGCCUGGGGAGUACGGUCGCAAGACUGAAACUCAAAGGAAUU
RNAcentral lists this ribosomal RNA (566 nucleotides) under uncultured bacterium. Its description in RNAcentral is "partial 16S ribosomal RNA". It matches the Rfam family "Bacterial small subunit ribosomal RNA", at positions 355 to 911 of the family's 1533-position model. The record is from RNAcentral.